RNAcentral lists this ribosomal RNA (581 nucleotides) under uncultured Pseudomonas sp. RNAcentral's name for it is "bacterial SSU rRNA". It matches the Rfam family "Bacterial small subunit ribosomal RNA", at positions 102 to 679 of the family's 1533-position model. Lineage: Bacteria; Pseudomonadati; Pseudomonadota; Gammaproteobacteria; Pseudomonadales; Pseudomonadaceae. The record is from RNAcentral.
ACGGGUGAGUAAUGCCUAGGAAUCUGCCUGGUAGUGGGGGAUAACGCUCGGAAACGGACGCUAAUACCGCAUACGUCCUACGGGAGAAAGCAGGGGACCUUCGGGCCUUGCGCUAUCAGAUGAGCCUAGGUCGGAUUAGCUAGUUGGUGAGGUAAUGGCUCACCAAGGCGACGAUCCGUAACUGGUCUGAGAGGAUGAUCAGUCACACUGGAACUGAGACACGGUCCAGACUCCUACGGGAGGCAGCAGUGGGGAAUAUUGGACAAUGGGCGAAAGCCUGAUCCAGCCAUGCCGCGUGUGUGAAGAAGGUCUUCGGAUUGUAAAGCACUUUAAGUUGGGAGGAAGGGCAGUUACCUAAUACGUGAUUGUUUUGACGUUACCGACAGAAUAAGCACCGGCUAACUCUGUGCCAGCAGCCGCGGUAAUACAGAGGGUGCAAGCGUUAAUCGGAAUUACUGGGCGUAAAGCGCGCGUAGGUGGUUUGUUAAGUUGGAUGUGAAAUCCCCGGGCUCAACCUGGGAACUGCAUCCAAAACUGGCAAGCUAGAGUAUGGUAGAGGGUGGUGGAAUUUCCUGUGUAGC